GGACCCCCAUGAUGUCCAGCACUGGGCUCUGAUCUUCUGUGAAGACACAGUGCUCCCCCAGGACCUUUGACACCUGGGGAUCUGAGGGGCCC
Small nucleolar RNA from Camelus dromedarius (Arabian camel), 92 nucleotides. NCBI's taxonomy places the organism in Eukaryota, Metazoa, Chordata, Mammalia, Artiodactyla, Camelidae. The record is from Ensembl.